Myotis davidii is the source of this 5236-nucleotide RNA transcript. It is a transcript of the gene named jade family PHD finger 1, with no coding region annotated. The transcript is spliced from 12 exons. The record is from RefSeq and is a predicted model, not a curated record. NCBI's taxonomy places the organism in Eukaryota, Metazoa, Chordata, Mammalia, Chiroptera, Vespertilionidae.
CUUGGGCUUUGCCGGGGCGGGGGCCAGAGGAGGAGGAGGAGGAGGAGAGGAUGAUUUUUGGAGCCUGAGAAUUGAUUUAUGUUGGAUCAGCUGCCUGCUGUUUCCCGGGGAGAUCAUGAAACGAGGUCGCCUUCCCAGCAGCAGUGAGGAUUCUGACGACAAUGGCAGCCUGUCCACCACUUGGUCUCAGAAUUCCCGGUCCCAGCACAGGAGAGGUUCCUGCUCCAGACAUGAAGAUCGGAAGCCUUCCGAGGUGUUUAGGACAGACCUGAUCACCGCCAUGAAGCUACAUGACUCCUACCAGCUGAACCCCGAUGAGUACUACGUGUUGGCAGAUCCCUGGAGACAGGAGUGGGAGAAGGGGGUGCAGGUGCCAGUCAGCCCUGGGACCAUCCCUCAGCCUGUGGCCAGGGUCGUGUCGGAAGAGAAGUCACUCAUGUUCAUCAGGCCCAAGAAAUACAUCGUCUCUUCAGGCUCCGAGCCCCCGGAGCUGGGCUACGUGGACAUCCGUGCGCUGGCCGAUGGCGUGUGUCGGUACGACCUCAAUGACAUGGACGCAGCAUGGCUGGAGCUGACCAACGAGGAGUUCAAGGAGAUGGGCAUGCCGGAGCUGGACGAGGGCACCAUGGAGAGGGUCCUGGAGGAGUUUGAGCAGCGCUGCUCCGACAACAUGAACCACGCCAUCGAGACGGAAGAGGGCCUGGGCAUCGAGUACGACGAGGACGUCGUGUGUGACGUCUGCCAGUCGCCCGACGGUGAGGACGGCAACGAGAUGGUGUUCUGUGACAAAUGCAACAUCUGCGUGCACCAGGCCUGCUAUGGAAUCCUCAAGGUCCCCGAGGGCAGCUGGCUGUGCCGGACGUGUGCCCUGGGGGUGCAGCCCAAGUGCUUGCUGUGCCCCAAGAAAGGCGGAGCCAUGAAGCCCACCCGCAGCGGGACCAAGUGGGUCCACGUCAGCUGUGCUCUGUGGAUCCCCGAGGUGAGCAUUGGCAGCCCCGAGAAAAUGGAGCCCAUCACGAAGGUGUCUCACAUCCCCAGCAGUCGGUGGGCGCUGGUGUGCAGCCUCUGCAACGAGAAGUUUGGGGCCUCCAUACAGUGCUCCGUGAAGAACUGCCGCACGGCCUUCCACGUGACCUGCGCUUUCGACCGGGGCCUGGAGAUGAAGACCAUCUUGGCGGAGAACGAUGAGGUCAAGUUCAAGUCCUACUGCCCGAAGCACAGCUCCCACAGGAAAGCCGAGGGGAGCCUCGCGGCGGGGGCCGCCCAGGAGAACGGGGGGCCCGAGUGCUCCCCCCGGAGCCCGCUGGAGCCCUUCGCCAGCCUGGAGCAGAAGCAGGAGGAGGCCCACCGGGUGAGUGUCCGGAAGCAGAAGCUGCAGCAGCUGGAAGACGCCUUCUACACCUUCGUCAACCUGCUGGACGUCGCCAGGGCCCUGCGGCUGCCGGAGGAAGUGGUGGACUUCCUGUACCAGUACUGGAAGCUGAAGAGGAAGGUCAACUUCAACAAGCCCCUCAUCACCCCAAAGAGAGACGAAGAGGACAAUCUAGCGAAGCGGGAGCAGGAUGUCUUGUUUAGGAGGCUGCAGCUGUUCACGCACCUGCGGCAGGACCUGGAGAGGGUUCGGAACCUCACUUACAUGGUGACCCGCAGGGAAAAGAUUAAGCGAUCUGUGUGCAAAGUCCAGGAACAGAUAUUCAAUCUUUACACUAAGCUCUUGGAGCAAGAAAGAGUUUCAGGUGUGCCUUCGUCCUGCUCCGCCGCCUCCCUGGAAAGCGUGCUUCUGUUCAACAGCCCCUCGGUGGGCCCCGACGCCCCCAGGAUCGAGGACCUGAAGUGGCACUCGGCCUUCUUCCGGAAGCAGAUGGGCACCUCCCUGGGUCGCUCCCUGAAGAAGCCGCAUCCGCGAGCCCUCCUGCAGGGCAGCCCGGGGCGCGGGGCCCAGGCCCUGCACCGGGAGGCGGCGGGGCUCCCCGAGAGCUUGCGGAGCUUGGACAAGACCUUGGCCGACGCCCGCCUCCUGUCCGCGCAGCAGAGAAAUGGCGCGAUGGUGCCGGACCCCGGGAGCAGGAGGGACCACCGCUUCCAUUGUGACCCCGGGAAGGGGGACGGGAAGGACAGGCCUUUCAAACAGAGUCACAAGCCUCUCAGGUCCACGGACGUGUCCCAGCGGCAUCUGGACCCCGCGAGGGCCGCCGCCUCCCCUGCCGGGGGGCAGUCGGCGCCGGGUGCGAGGAGAGAGGGGUUGCCCAGGUGCAAUGGCUCGCCUGGGCCGCGGGCCCGCCAAGGAGAGGGCGAAGAGCAAACUGAAGUCCGACACCGAGAGUGACGGCUACGCCCCCGACGUGGAGAUGAGCGACUCGGAGAGCGAGGCCUCGGAGAAGAAGUGCAUCCCCGCGGGCAGCGCCAUGGGCCGGAGGACAGACUUCAUCCGCAGGAGCAUCCUGGCCUCCUGAUGCGCCCGGCGCGGCCAGCAGACAGCACCUGAGCCAGGCACACACUUACUCGCCCUUAGGAUGGAUUUUUCUCAGUCAUUUAUACAUCGUGAGAAGUGUGUGUUAUUUGCAACUUGUUGAGGAAACACAAGAGUAGGUUGUAAGCGCACUACAGAAGCGGAAUUAAACACUAAGCAUGAAUGAGGUGCGUUUUUGAAGAGGGAGAGGCUUACAGAAACCUCGCGAGUUUUUAUUGCUCUGUAUUCUUCCCAAAGCACAAACUCUUGGUUCCCCGAAUACACGGGACCAGAUAUGGUUCUAGACACCCUCACGUACCUUUUACUAGCCCCUGACUGACUGUCCAGGACGGUGGUGGGUUGGAAACCAUGUUCACCGUGGGCCCCAGGCUGUUCUUGUUGCAUUGCAGUCUGUAGGCAGCAGCUCGGGCUUAAGGAACUCAAGGGGACUUGUGUGUAAAUGUCCCAGUGGGAGGAGAGAAGUGUUGAGGGUCACCCCUGGAGGACCUGAAGCGGGGGCAGCUGGAAUGUAAGGGAAUGUGGCUCCUCAGCCUGCAGCCCUGGGAGGGGGAGGGGAGAGGACUGGUGCAGAGCGAGGUCACUGGGAAGUCUGUCUGUGAGAGAGGGCAGCUGAGGCCCCACUGACCAGUCCUCUUGACACCCCCUUCCCUAACUGCUGCCUGUGGGCCAGCGGGGGCGGGGGUCCCUAGCCAUUGGCAGUCCCUGAUCAGCUGGCCUGCAACAAUACAGUAGUCAUUCAGGUUCGAGCGAUGACCUUCCAGACUCGGCUGACUCACACUUCCCAGGGCUCCCAACUGGAACAGAUUCCUUAAGAACAAGGAAAAAAGGAAAAGAAAAAAAAAAAACCCAAACCCCAAACAAAACACACACACGUGAAAUAGGCUAUAUUUUAGAAAAAAUAGAAAGGCAAUAAGUUGCGAUAACCUCUUACCAUUGACCAAUUUCUACAGGAAAGAGUUUUAAGUGUAGUAGGUUUUCUGGAGUCAGUUCUAGGCUCUGAUUGGUAACUGGGACUUUCUAAUUGCAAAUGGCAAUAACUCGUAAGUUCUCAGCAAUAAUAAAUUUAGCAUUAAUUUGAGUACACUGUUCUGUUUCUGCACUGGCUGCAGUGCAUAUGUGUUAAGACAGUAGUGUUAAGGUCCUGUUCAUUUUCUUUGGAAUUCAAUGUAGUUGUGCAUCAAACUUAAGAGAAGGAAGGUUUAAAUAGCAAUGAGACUUAGAAUUAUGGGCACUUGGAACAAGCCCAGCUUCCCCUAAAUUGCCCCUUAGUUGGCUGGUAUCAGUAUUCAGAUUCCUGGUUCAUUUAUACGUCUGCUUCCAUGUGGCAGGGACAUUCUGAUACUCGAUGAAUAAUGGUUUGAGUCCUGCGGUUAACUUUCAAGUCUUCCAGAGGAUUGUCAACAACAAACAAGGCUUAUUGAAUUCCAUCUUGCUAUGCAAGUUUUGUCAGAUGAUCAAAUAGUAGAUCGGAUGCAUCCCCAUUGUAUGUAUGACAUUUUCAGAUCAAGUCUUAAACUUUUUGAAUACAUUGUAGUAGCUAAUUCAGGGGAGGGGAAAGGAUGACCCAGGUUUAGAUUGACUAUUUUUGAGCUACGGGGCUCGUUUUGAAAGACUGUUGUCCAGAUAAGCUGUUGCUGCAGAUAAAAGUUUCUUACAAAUCCAAGUUGUACUUUCACUCAUAGCCUAAUUUAAAAGUCAGAUUUUUUGCAUAGGAGCAGAAACCUUUUGCUGAGCACAGAAGGUGGACUCUAACCUUUGGACCACAGUGACAGCUCUGGUGAGAGUUAGAGGAUAUGGAUUUGUCAAGCCAUAGAAAGAAAACCUAAAUUCUAGUGAGCGUAUGACCUCUCACCGUUUUAAGAGGUACCAGAUUCAUUUGCACUAUUAGGAAUGCUAGUUUUGUGCAAAAAUAAUGCCUUACCUGUUUCCCCCCCACAUUUAGGUUGAAAAGCUUUCAAACGUUUCAAGUUAUGCUGAACCAAAAAAACAACAAAAACAACAUAAGACAAAAAAAUUAAAAAAAAAUAGCCCAAGGAAAACAAGACACACAAAAGAUAAAAAGCCCACUUUUUAUUUCUGCUUUGAAAUGCAAAUGGCUAGAGCACGGUUUCUCCGGUGUAAUGAUAGCUUUGUAGGUCAGUUUUCUGUCCUGUGGGGAUGUCUGCGAGGCCACCAUCAGCAGCAACCCGCUCCCCACCCCCACCCUGGCCCCCCAUGUACACUUCUUAGUGUGGGACCUACCAUUUGCUCUUUUCUUUCUUUUUUUUUUUUAAGCUUUAUCUUUCCUUGUGCACCCUGACCAAGAAGUAUCUUUGAUUAUGAUCAAUGUAUUUUGUCAAAAUGUAGGCUAGUUAAACUUUUGUAAAGUUGCCUGGAAUGUCAUUUGUUAGGUUAUAAACACAAAAUCUCGAUGAAGGGUUAUAUGUGUUGUGUACAAAUCUUAAUUAUUUUCAAAUGGACAAACUUGUCAUUACAUUUGUAACCUUGUACAGAAGAUUUUUCACUAUGUGCCUAGCUUGGUGUCCAUUCAACUAAAAUUGAAAAAAAAAAAAGGUGCAUGAAGAGUUACAAAUCAGAAAUUAAACAAAGUAUAUGUAGAGAUGACUAUUUUAUAUGACAUGGCCCAAUCCUGUAUUUAUUUCUACCCCCUUUUUGAAAGUAUUUAUAAAACUAGUUGAGGACAGCUGUAUUUUUUUGUUGAACUAUUUAGUAGAAUUUGUGCCUUUUUGUCUGUAUGUGAAUAAAUGCUGUACAUUUUGCAAUACA